Molecule: RNA transcript, 1092 nt
Organism: Prosopis cineraria
Lineage: Eukaryota; Viridiplantae; Streptophyta; Magnoliopsida; Fabales; Fabaceae
Exons: 5
Source: RefSeq, a predicted model, not a curated record
UUCUGCCUCGGCUGAACUGUCUUCGUCGUCUUCUCCGUCUCGGUCCUGCGAUUCCUAGUCUAGCUUUAAUGAAGUUUCUGGACUGGUAUUUGAAGAUUGGGGCUGUGUCAGCCUUGAUUGGAGCUUCUAUGGAGUUGUUCAUGAUCAAAACUGGCUUCUAUGACAAAGUAACUGUUUUGGAGUCAGAGAAGCGUGCGUGGGAGAAUUCUCCUGAAGCUAAUGCAGUCAGAGAAGCUCUCAAUCCUUGGAAACAUCUUGAUGCUGAAAGAAGGAAAAAAUCCUGACUUAAAUUUUCAUGAAGGUGUAGCUAGGAGAGUAUGCAAGAGAAGAAGGAAAACAAAAACAAAAGGAGAGCAUAUGUGAAGUAAAGCAAAGGAGAAAAGCAUUCUGACGCUGCAUCUGAUUGCCAUGUCAUGGAGCUUUGAGAAUCCAGCUCAUCCAUGUUAUCUUCAUGACAACUAAAUUCACCGGCUUCCUGAUCAUCUUCAUGACCAUCACCAACCUCAGAUAGACCAUAUAUACCGUCUGUGUCAUAAUUACAAGAUUCAGCGUCAUCCUCAUUAUGACCAGCAAUAGUGCCCGUGCUGGGAUAGAGACUAAAUAAGCCAGAGUCUGCUUCUGAAUCUGCGCUAUCCUCCAUGAGUAACCAAGAUGAUACAUCCACGCCAUUCAUUUCUUCUCCCCAGACAAGAAGAGCGAUCAAAGGUUUCACUUGUUUUCGCUUGGGUCUUCCAAGGCCAAAGCCAGGUUGAAGCUGACUUAGUAUUUAAUAUUUGAUUAUAUGUUUCUCAAAUUUUUACCCAACUUUUUUUUUUUGGCCAAAUCCAUGAUGUUGGUAGAUCUGCUCCAAAUCAUGACAGUCAUUUCUUGUUAGGUGGACGCUUAUUGCUUGCCCUUCCUAACUUGAUGGUGGGUUUCAGGUCAUAACUCCACUCCAUUUCAGUUUUUGAACAUCGUCCUCUUUUUGAAAGUGCUUAAUAUACCGGUCGGUCGCUGGUCGGCCAGGAAAGUGAGGAGUAUUUGAUUGUGGACUAGAAUUUGCUUAAUCAUAUAAAUUGGGUGUCCAUAUAUGGCAAAGUCUAAUUGAUGGCA